UAGGGAAUCUUCCGCAAUGGACGCAAGUCUGACGGAGCAACGCCGCGUGAGUGAAGAAGGAUUUCGGUUCGUAAAACUCUGUUGUUAGAGAAGAACAGCGCAUAGAGUAACUGUUAUGCGUGUGACGGUAUCUAACCAGAAAGCCACGGCUAACUACGUGCCAGCAGCCGCGGUAAUACGUAGGUGGCAAGCGUUGUCCGGAUUUAUUGGGCGUAAAGCGAGCGCAGGCGGUCAAUUAAGUCUGAUGUGAAAGCCCCCGGCUCAACCGGGGAGGGUCAUUGGAAACUGGUUGACUUGAGUGCAGAAGAGGGGAGUGGAGUUCCAUGUGUAGCGGUGAAAGGCGUGGAUAUAUGGAGGAUCACCAGUGGCGAAGGCGACUCUCUGGUCUGUACCUGACGCUGAGGCUCGAAAGCGUGGGUAGCGAACAGG
RNAcentral lists this ribosomal RNA (429 nucleotides) under Bacteroidota bacterium. Its description in RNAcentral is "Bacteroidetes bacterium partial 16S ribosomal RNA". It matches the Rfam family "Bacterial small subunit ribosomal RNA", at positions 355 to 776 of the family's 1533-position model. The record is from RNAcentral. Lineage: Bacteria; Pseudomonadati; Bacteroidota.